Acanthosepion pharaonis is the source of this 110-nucleotide non-coding RNA. The record is from the annotation of a GenBank genome assembly. NCBI's taxonomy places the organism in Eukaryota, Metazoa, Mollusca, Cephalopoda, Sepiida, Sepiidae.
CGACCAGAUCAUAUUGAAACACCAGAUCGCGUAAGAUCGCCGAAGUUAAGCAACAUUGGGUCUGGUCAGAACUGAGAGGGGUGGCCGCUUUGGAAUAACAGGUGCUGUAA